AAAAAAAAUCGUUGAAUUGCAGCUUCUCUGUGCUAUAUAAAUACAUCUAGUGUGAAUUGCAGAAUUCAGUGAAUCAUCGAAUCUUUGAACGCAAAUGGCGCUCUUGGGUUUUCCCAGGAGCAUGUCUGUCUGAGUGUCG
This 139-nucleotide ribosomal RNA is filed under the name Nematostella vectensis (starlet sea anemone). Its description in RNAcentral is "5.8S ribosomal RNA". It matches the Rfam family "5.8S ribosomal RNA", at positions 39 to 154 of the family's 154-position model. Rfam says of the family: 5.8S ribosomal RNA (5.8S rRNA) is a component of the large subunit of the eukaryotic ribosome. It is transcribed by RNA polymerase I as part of the 45S precursor that also contains 18S and 28S rRNA. Lineage: Eukaryota; Metazoa; Cnidaria; Anthozoa; Actiniaria; Edwardsiidae. The record is from Rfam by way of RNAcentral.